CCAUUUGUCGACAACAGAGUUUGAUCCUGGCUCAGAUUGAACGCUGGCGGCAGGCUUAACACAUGCAAAGUCGAGCGGUAACAGAAAGAAAGCUUGCUUUCUUUGCUGACGAGCGGCGGACGGGUUAGAGUAAUGCCUAGGGAACUGCCCAGUCGAGGGGGAUAACAGUUGGAAACCGACCUGCUAAUACCGCAUACCGCCCUACGGGGGUAAAAGAGGGGACCUUCGGGGCCUUCUGCGAUUGGAUGUACCUAGGUGGGAUUAGCUAGUAGGUGAGGUAAUGGCUCACCUAGGCGACGAUCCCUAGCUGUUCUGAGAGGAUGAUCAGCCACACUGGGACUGAGACACGGCCCAGACUCCUACGGGAGGCAGCAGUGGGGAAUAUUGCACAAUGGGCGCAAGCCUGAUGCAGCCAUGCCGCGUGUGUGAAGAAGGCCUUCGGGUUGUAAAGCACUUUCAGCGAGGAGGAAAGGUUAAGUGUUAAUAGCGCUUAGCUGUGACGUUACUCGCAGAAGAAGCACCGGCUAACUUCGUGCUAGACAGCCGCGGUAAUACGAGGGGUGCAAGCGUUAAUCGCGAAUUACUGGGCGUAAAGCGUACGCAGGCGGUUUGUUAAGCGAGAUGUGAAAGCCCCGGGCUCAACCUGGGAACUGCAUUUCGAACUUGGCAAACUAGAGUCUUGUAGAGGGGGGUAGAAUUUCAGGUGUAGCGGUGAAAUGCGUAGAGAUCUGAAGGAAUACCGGUGGCGAAGGCGGCCCCCUGGACAAAGACUGACGCUCAGGUACGAAAGCGUGGGGAGCAAACAGGAUUAGAUACCCUGGUAGUCCACGCCGUAAACGAUGUCUACUCGGAAUUUGGUGUCUUGAACACUGGGUUCUCAAGCUAACGCAUUAAGUAGACCGCCUGGGGAGUACGGGCCGCAAGGUUA
This 928-nucleotide ribosomal RNA is filed under the name Shewanella sp. GIT-1. Its description in RNAcentral is "bacterial SSU rRNA". It matches the Rfam family "Bacterial small subunit ribosomal RNA", at positions 1 to 896 of the family's 1533-position model. Lineage: Bacteria; Pseudomonadati; Pseudomonadota; Gammaproteobacteria; Alteromonadales; Shewanellaceae. The record is from RNAcentral.